This 300-nucleotide ribosomal RNA is filed under the name uncultured Pyrobaculum sp. RNAcentral's name for it is "bacterial SSU rRNA". It matches the Rfam family "Bacterial small subunit ribosomal RNA", at positions 496 to 795 of the family's 1533-position model. Lineage: Archaea; Thermoproteati; Thermoproteota; Thermoprotei; Thermoproteales; Thermoproteaceae. The record is from RNAcentral.
UGUAACUCGUGGCCAGAGUCGUGGGUAGAACGGAGACUGCAAGGGUUAGUGGGAGUCACGGGGCGUAAAGGGUGCGCAGGCGGUCGGGGGUGUCAGAUGUGAAAUCCCGAGGCUUAACCUCGGAACGGCGUCUGAAACUACUCGGCUAGAGUAUUGGAGAGGGUAACGGAAUUCACGGUGUAGCAGUGAAAUGCGUAGAUAUCGUGAGGAACACCAGAGGCGAAGGCGGUUACCUGGACAAUUACUGACGCUCAGGCACGAAAGCAUGGGGAGCAAAAGGGAUUAGAUACCCCAGUAGUC